Molecule: ribosomal RNA, 1320 nt
Filed under: Bacillus aerius
Lineage: Bacteria; Bacillati; Bacillota; Bacilli; Caryophanales; Bacillaceae
Description: bacterial SSU rRNA
Rfam family: Bacterial small subunit ribosomal RNA
Source: RNAcentral
UAUACAUGCAGUCGAGCGGACAGAAGGGAGCUUGCUCCCGGAUGUUAGCGGCGGACGGGUGAGUAACACGUGGGUAACCUGCCUGUAAGACUGGGAUAACUCCGGGAAACCGGAGCUAAUACCGGAUAGUUCCUUGAACCGCAUGGUUCAAGGAUGAAAGACGGUUUCGGCUGUCACUUACAGAUGGACCCGCGGCGCAUUAACUAGUUGGUGAGGUAACGGCUCACCAAGGCGACGAUGCGUAGCCGACCUGAGAGGGUGAUCGGCCACACUGGGACUGAGACACGGCCCAGACUCCUACGGGAGGCAGCAGUAGGGAAUCUUCCGCAAUGGACGAAAGUCUGACGGAGCAACGCCGCGUGAGUGAUGAAGGUUUUCGGAUCGUAAAGCUCUGUUGUUAGGGAAGAACAAGUGCAAGAGUAACUGCUUGCACCUUGACGGUACCUAACCAGAAAGCCACGGCUAACUACGUGCCAGCAGCCGCGGUAAUACGUAGGUGGCAAGCGUUGUCCGGAAUUAUUGGGCGUAAAGGGCUCGCAGGCGGUUUCUUAAGUCUGAUGUGAAAGCCCCCGGCUCAACCGGGGAGGGUCAUUGGAAACUGGGAAACUUGAGUGCAGAAGAGGAGAGUGGAAUUCCACGUGUAGCGGUGAAAUGCGUAGAGAUGUGGAGGAACACCAGUGGCGAAGGCGACUCUCUGGUCUGUAACUGACGCUGAGGAGCGAAAGCGUGGGGAGCGAACAGGAUUAGAUACCCUGGUAGUCCACGCCGUAAACGAUGAGUGCUAAGUGUUAGGGGGUUUCCGCCCCUUAGUGCUGCAGCUAACGCAUUAAGCACUCCGCCUGGGGAGUACGGUCGCAAGACUGAAACUCAAAGGAAUUGACGGGGGCCCGCACAAGCGGUGGAGCAUGUGGUUUAAUUCGAAGCAACGCGAAAAACCUUACCAGGUCUUGACAUCCUCUGACAACCCUAGAGAUAGGGCUUUCCCUUCGGGGACAGAGUGACAGGUGGUGCAUGGUUGUCGUCAGCUCGUGUCGUGAGAUGUUGGGUUAAGUCCCGCAACGAGCGCAACCCUUGAUCUUAGUUGCCAGCAUUCAGUUGGGCACUCUAAGGUGACUGCCGGUGACAAACCGGAGGAAGGUGGGGAUGACGUCAAAUCAUCAUGCCCCUUAUGACCUGGGCUACACACGUGCUACAAUGGACAGAACAAAGGGCUGCGAGACCGCAAGGUCUAGCCAAUCCCACAAAUCUGUUCUCAGUUCGGAUCGCAGUCUGCAACUCGACUGCGUGAAGCUGGAAUCGCUAGUAAUCGCGGAUCAGCAU